This 2385-nucleotide unclassified non-coding RNA is filed under the name Hevea brasiliensis (rubber tree). Lineage: Eukaryota; Viridiplantae; Streptophyta; Magnoliopsida; Malpighiales; Euphorbiaceae. The record is from RNAcentral.
CUUCAAAAUAGUUAAAUAAUUUUAUCAAUACAAAAUUGAGUAUAUUCAUGGAUGAAAUGGAACCCCCAUCUCCACCAGGCUUAACUAAAUGAUCAAUCAUGCAAUUCGCAAGGGGCAAAGCAUGUUCCAACGUUUGGGGUGUAGGCCUUUCCUUGCAUUAUUAUACAUACACAAUAGUAAACUCUCUUUUAUCACCCAAGUUUUCCUUCCCUCCUCCGUGACUUGGGCUGUAUGUAAGCAGUAAGCACCCAUAUUAACAAAAUGCCCUAUGAGCAGUAGUGUAAUACCAGGAGAUGGAUCCAUGCACAUGUUCUCUCUAAAUUAAUUUCCAGCUGCAUUUUCUUCGAAAUAACACACACACACACACAGAGACAAGGGAACUGAUAUCCCUACUUACAAAAUGUUUGCCACCAUUUUCAGCUUAAAGCCUUAGUUAUUUCUAGCUCCAACCUUAAACCAAAGCACGUCAUUUUGAUGAAAAAAUGGACAGCCGAAGCAUCAAUCUUUUUGUGGCGUGCAUCCUAUUCAGAUUCAAUAGAACUGAGGGCAGACCUAUCAUAUCUCCAGAACAAGACAAUUUGGCACUAAGAUAAUACCAGACUAUGUCAAUAAAUUAUUUUCAAAGGGCUAACCCAAGAACAAUGGAAGAUGAAUCACACAACAACCAAUUCCCAAAAUAAACAAUUUUUCUAUUUUUAAAUGGAAAAAGCAAUUAAUGCAAGAUGCAUGACACAACACUCUACCAUUUACUAAUUCUUAUUAUAUUGAUUUUACCAUUUAAAAAUUUCUCAGCCAAAUUUAACAGCAGAUUUCUAUUCUUUUUCUGUCCAAAUGAUUAAGAUACAAAUUUAUUUCAAUGCGUCCCUUCACACCUUACAUAAAGCAAAUACCUAAAUUAAAGCUAUCCUGAUAAAUGAGAAGUAAAAGAACAUUCACAAAUUGAGAAAAAUAGCAUAGAAAGUGUCACUCCUAAGCCAAGAUUUCUGUAAGGACAAUUCAAAGAAAGAAAGAAGGAAUGAAUGAAUUAAUUAAUGAAAGAGAAAGAUGAAUUAAUAAUAAAACUACCGGGUCAAUUUCAACUAAUUCACGAGGUGCAACGUUGAUGACAUUGAGGAUCUCAGCUUUUGCAAGUUUGUAUGUCUUAUACUUCUCCAUAAAUUCAUGGAUUUGCUCUCUCGUUUGCCUGCAAGCAGGAGUCUCCACCAAAUAAACAGAAACAUCUUCAUUGGAAUAUGAUUCUUCAAUUCCCCUGAAAAUGAGACCAACAAGAAAAACCAGCAGAAAAUUAAGAAAAUCCUGCUUCAGAAUUAGAAGCUAAGCUGUAAUAAAACUAAAGUUGCUUAUCGAAUUUGCGAUCAGCUUAAGUCACAUAUUGGUAGCUCCAAAAACUCAGCUUAACACAAGAGGCAAUGGCGGCGAAGCACACUAGCACAAGCAGCAGUUUUGGGAGCUAUAAAAGCUUGAAUCGAUGGGAAGAAGAGGAAAGCAGGAAACAACGUCGGUCAGACACAACAGAGGAGGAGCAGGCAAGACCAGUCGACUUCGAGACUAGGAGCUAGAUGGAAUAGGGCAUGAGGCGCUGGAUGCAGGAGAAAGAUAAGAAAAAAACAUAUAGCAGAUGCAGAUGGUGGGCUGGGCUUAGGCAGGCAGACUGGUUUAAUAUGGGCUAGCUGGACGAAUGAAGGCAAGGGCAUAUAAGUAAUUACAUAAAUAGGUUAAUUAAUUUUAAAUACUUACCAACGCAGAGUCUUUUAUUAUCAGUCUGAUUGCUCCAAGCUCAAGAUCCUCUGUUUUUCAAUUCUUGCUUUCUACCCUGUCGUGAUCGCCAAUACAUCAACACAAGACUUCGAAAACUUCAUCUCCCUUCUUUCUUUGCAUACAGGUUUGAUUCUUAACUGCACGCAAGAUAUGAUCUCCAAGAAAUCAGUCGCGAUGAUGCACAAAUCCAUUUUAUUUGUUUGUCCUUGGUGGAUUUUUAGGGUUUUCUUUUUAGAUUUCCUUUUAUUUUCGGUUGCCUUUGCUGGAGGAUAGGCUAAUGGAAAUCAAGAUUCUUGCUUUUAUCUAGUUAUGGUUUUGUUCUUUGAUUGCGGCAACUGAUGGAUUUUCAUAUAAUGGAUUCGACUGAUAUGUUGUCUUGAUAUGCUUUAUCUGGCUCCGGUUAAGGUUUUUGUAUUCAUCGUUUCCGUGGUGUUAAAGAAAACAGAUUGGGCAGAGAAUGUGGAUAUCGUUUGAUAUAUCAGUUAUAUGGUAUCGUCUGUUCAUCCUACUAUUGUGUUUUGUCUUUCUAGCAUGGAUGCGAAGAUUGCGACCAUUCAUUCACGACUUGGAGGAGGACCUGCGCCCAGCAAAGUUGUUUGUUCUCACUGAAAGAUGGGGAAUUGCAAU